Long non-coding RNA from Pieris rapae (cabbage white), 824 nucleotides. RefSeq lists it as uncharacterized. The transcript is spliced from 3 exons. NCBI's taxonomy places the organism in Eukaryota, Metazoa, Arthropoda, Insecta, Lepidoptera, Pieridae. The record is from RefSeq and is a predicted model, not a curated record.
ACACGUACUUGAAGAGUAUUUGUCAAGUGAGCAUAAUGAAAAACAGAUAAAAUAUUGCCAUAGCAUUCUGGGACAAGGCUGAGUGUCGAUGUGUUAGAAUACAGAGUUUGUUUGAGGUAUUUGCUAAUGUCCUUAUGUGGGUCGUAUUGUGAACUAAUACGUGUUGGAAGAAAUAGGUUUACAUAACCAAUAGGUAAAGGGGCUACUGAAUAAUGUUAUCAUAAAAUAUAAUGACACGUUACCCUUGAAAUAAACAGCAGAAUGAUGACUUCAUUAUUUCAAUAUACAAACAUCUAAAUAAACUUACUUAUUAAUGUAUUCCAGUUGCGGAAUCCGAAAGUUACAAAGAGCAACAAGCAACAAUUCCAGGUUUUUGUAAAUCGCUGCCUUUGACACACCGUAAAGAUAUUAUUGCUCGAGAGUAUCUCCAAUCAGCAACUAAGGGAAAUAUACAAGAAUGUCCAAUUGACAGAACUAUAAAACACAUAAAAUAGAAUUGAACAAUCACCAGAUGGGGAUUCAAACCACAUUGCCAAGCAAGCUCUCAAAUGUGUGAAAGAAUGUGUUUAUACAAAAUAUAUAAUCAAAUUUAUUCAUAAAUAUAAACGGUUGAUCGAUUAAGUAAAUGUUAAGUAAACUAUCGUCUUAUUAUCGCAAGUUAACUUAAAAUAGGGUUUUUUUAUGUUUGAAUGUAAACUUAAUAAUUUCAAAUAAUAAAGCACCAAUAAAUACCAACUGUUCAACAUAAAAAUAGACGACAGUUUGGGCAGGGUGCAAUUGUAUAUUUAAAGAAAUCUUUCAAUUCAAAUAUCUAAUAACAAAUG